CUAACCAAGGAUUGAACAAGCUGGACAUUCUGAGUCGAGACCUCGCCCUGACAAGUUGUAAGAACUCCAGUAGAGGGAGAAUCAAGAAGAAUGUGUAACUACCCGCUACUAUGGCACUCAUCUAUAACAUUUCAAACAUCUUCCUCUCGCAAGUUCUGUAUAAUAUAAUUAGUAAUAGAGCAAAACGUAACUAUUUUCACCAGUUCCUCAUCAACGGUACUCAGGUUAUAUACACAUCCGUAGCUAUACACACCCAUCUACGACUAUAUAUCGCUGCUUGCUGACAUGUAAUUGCACUCACCCAUCCUUAUAUUCAUAAAUGCAUAUAUAUACCUCAAAUCUGCCUACAUUUAUCUAUUACAAUCCCGGAGAAGAAGAUAAACAAAAUUGGAUUCCUAAAAAGUAAAAUGAUUGAAAGGAUGCAGAUAUGGAUAUGGAGAACGAUCGAUAGUGCAAAUCAAAAGAAUAAAAAGGAUACAAAAAAAGGAAAGAAAGAUAAAAGCAAAAGAAAAUUUCCCGUAACUUUAGUAUCGAUCCAAAAUUAUUGAUAAAUUUGUGAUGGGAUUACCACGAAAAAAAAUGCUUGUCAUGGUGAGGAAAGUAGUGGAAGAACUAAACAACACAAAAUCGACACAAUUUAAGUGAUUUAAAAGAAGAUACAAGCUAUUUGACGAGAGUUUGAAAAGCUUAUUCUAAAUCAAGACGCCAACAUGAACACCGCUAAUGAGUUCCAAAAGAAUAACGACGAUCUGGGAAAAAGAACCAUCAUCCAAACGGAAGUAACCGGAAAAAUGCCUGUAAUUCUGGAAUCAAUGUUGAGAAUCGCUGAUGUUAUUUUGCACUUCACGUUCUUGGUGAGAUAAGUCAUAUUUGAAUUUUGUAACAUUGAAUAUAUAAGUUUCAAAGUUUCUUUUAAAAGUUAAAGUACUAUAAAAGUUACUAUAAAAAUAAUAAUUAUAAAUUUAUCAAAGGCCAAGUAAAAUGAUACAAAUUCUUCGUUCUUUUUCUAGAAGGAUGAUAAAUAGUGAAUUAAUGAUAAUUUUAUAUUUUUCUGUAUUAAUCCUUUGUACUCUACAUCGUCUUGACCGUUAAUUUGCAGCAAAUUCGUCUUAAAUUUGCCUUAAAUUUGUCUUAAAAUUCGUUUAAUGCUCGUCGGAAUACAAAGGAAAAUUCGGUGAAUUGUCAAAAUCAGCCAAAAGUUUCGUUUCGUUGUCUUUAUACAUUACCAUGACUGCCAAAUUCGGAAUUUAAAUCUAGCAGAAAAUAAAUUCAAAUAACUUUUAAAAAUAAAAUUUAAAAUAAGUUUCAAAGUUUCUUUUAAAACUUAAAGUACUAUAAAAAUUACUAUAAAAAUAAUAAUUAUAAAUUUAUCAUAGGCCAAGUAAAAUGAUACAAAUUCUUCGUUCUAUCUCUAGAAGGAUGAUAAACAGCGAAUUAAUGAUAGUUUUAUAUUUUUCCGUAUUAAUCCUUUGUAUUCUGCUCCGUCUUUGCCAUUAAUUAGCAGGAAAUUCGUCACUCGAACACGAUAUAUACUAUACCAUAUGAUAUCGCAUAACUUUAAAACCCGCUAAUAUAUUGUAACGUUAUUUGAUUUAUAUGAAUUUUUAGACAUUCAGGAUCACAUUUUUUUACAAAAAAUCAGAACUUUAUUCUUUAUGAUUUUUGACCGUGGGACAAAUUUUAAAGUAGUCCUUUUACAUUAUCAUUUUCAUUACUGUCGUUAUCAAUGAGAUAUCUUCGUUUUUUUGGCGAUUCCUCCGAUAUCCAUGAUAUGAAUCAAAAUUAAAUUCAAUAGAUAAUUAAAAUUAAAAAGAAUCUUCUUCAAUUAAAAUUAUAAAAUAAAUUUUUUUAAUUAAAAUUAGAAAAAAACAUUAGAUUGCUUUUUUUAUAAUUUUAAUUUAAAAUAAUUUUUUUUCAAUUUUAACUUUUUUCUUUUUUUUUAAUUUAACUUCUUGUUGUUUUAAAUAAUCUUUUAAUUUUCUUUUUGACAAUAAAUUCAAAAAAAUUCCUUUAAAAUAAAAAAAAACAGAUUCAUUAUUAAUUUCAUUAUUGAUUUAUUAUUAAUUUAUUAUCUUUUGAGUGUUUUUUUUUUCACAGAUAAAUGAGAUAGGUCAGGAAUAUACAAUAUUCAUAUAUGGGUAGAUCGGUGGGUGAAUGCAAUUACAUGUAAGCAAGCAGGGAUAUAUAAAUGUAUGUGUCUUUGUAUAUCUAUAGAUAUGUGUAUAAUCUAUGUAUCGUCUGAAGAGGUCUAACGAAAAUAGUUCGAUCUUCCUCUAUCAAUAAUCAGAUGCUAUCACUAUGCUAUCAAUUAUGCUAGUCACUGUAAAAGAAAUAAUAACUCAAUAUUGCAUUACCAUUGAGCUUGAUACGAAAAAAAAUUCAAAUAUGAUUUAUCUUACCAAAAAUAAGUUAUUUAAAAUAUUAUAGAUGAUUGUAAUAAUCUUAUCUUGGCUGCUUAUGUAUUAUUUUGGCUAAUAAAUAUGACGAAUGAAAUAAAUUGAUGUGACAAAUAAAAUAAAAUAAAUUGAAGUAUGAAA
This is a long non-coding RNA of Vespula vulgaris, 2537 nucleotides long. RefSeq lists it as uncharacterized. Lineage: Eukaryota; Metazoa; Arthropoda; Insecta; Hymenoptera; Vespidae. The transcript has 3 exons. The record is from RefSeq and is a predicted model, not a curated record.